GGAAAAUAGACACUUGCAUAAAAUACCUUUACUGAAGAAUGAAAAGAAAAGCUGACUGAAUUUUUCAAACAGUCAUACUGCAAUUUUAGACAUCUAAAUUGCUUUUCUGCUUCAGGCAAUGACAAACAAGUUAAAUUUUGCAUUUGGAAGAAUAUUUGAGAAGGACUUUGCGUCUUGUUCCGUUUUUGUUUCUGCUCGAUCUUGAGAUCUGCCAAUGACAGCCAUGCAACAUUUGUUGCCUUGAUAUACAACAUGGUUGUACUGAUAACAAUGCAGUAAUUGCAGGCACCCAUGCCGGAUUGCAGCAGUGGUGUGUUGGUCCUAGGCUGCAAUAUACAUUUCUGCUAUUGUGUGAUCUUUAAGUUCUUGGAACAUUUUCUUAGAAAGUCUAAGUCAAAUCUUCUGACCUAUUAGGAAAUGGAAAGGAGUUGAAAAUAGAUUUCCCCUGCUGAAGCUGCCAAUUAAUUACUAAGAAGAGGAAAUCCUAAGAGCUUAUGAUGAGACUUAAAGCUCAAAGUCUGAUGCUAUCUCCUGAAGUAUGUAUAAGUUUUUGGUAAUUUUAAAGUCUAAAUUUAGAAGUUUAGCACUGAGAAUCUCAGCUCUGGCUUCAUAAUUAAAUGCUUACAGGUUAUAUAUAUAUACAUAUAUUCGUUUAUUAAUCAUGAC
This 666-nucleotide long non-coding RNA is filed under the name Equus caballus (horse). RNAcentral describes it as "lncRNA (ENSECAG00000059449.1)". The record is from RNAcentral. Lineage: Eukaryota; Metazoa; Chordata; Mammalia; Perissodactyla; Equidae.